CUUUGUUUAAAAGCAGCUCAAUCUAGGACCCUGAGGAGAUAGGUUGGAGGGAAGGGGAGGAGCUCAGAAAAUGGAGGGAAAAAGUGGAAAGUAGAAGGGCGUGGCUGGUCAGGUAGAGAGAGGGCACAAUUGACGGAACUAGGAAGCUGUUUCUUAGAGGCCUAGUUUUAUCUCUGUCUCUAAAGUAGCAGAUCGGUCAGAAGGUCUUGAGAAAAGAUCUGUGAACAAAAGGUUGAAGAACUUUUGUUUGUGUGGAUUAUUGGAUUCUUGGGAUUACAUGAUUGUUUGAUUCAAUGGGCCUGUUUUCUGUGUUUGUUUGACGCUCAUCGUGGGACCCUACUAAUGGCAGAGACUUGGGCACAAAAAACAUGCUCUCAGACAGGCAUAAAAAGCCUGAAACACCUACCUUUCACUCUCACGCAACAUGGAGAUGAAAUCACCAACUGGGAACUGGGAGCUAUUUAGUUCUAGCAGGGAUACAUUUCCAUAUUAUUUCACAUAAAGAUGUCUAAUUUCAAGACUCUUCGAUGGCCUACCGCAAGAUGAUGCUUGCCAAAUCAUAAUAUGCACAUUGGCAUUGUGGGUAAUGAGAUCUGUGUCCUGAAUUCAGCUGCAGGUCCAGCUAAUGCAGUGUGAAUAGCAUUGCCAUCUGGCUUUUCAGGGUUUGAAUGGCACAGCAAGAAGCCUUCAUCAGAGCACAGCCAAAUGCCAGAGAGUCUUCAUCAGAACACAGCCCAAUGCCUGAGAGUCUUCAUCAGAACACAGCCCAGUGCCAGAGAAGCACAGCCGAAUGCCUGAGAGUCUUCAUCAGAGCACAGCCCAAUGCCUGAGAGUCUUCAUCAGAGCACAGCCCAGUGCCAGAGAAGCACAGCCCAAUGCCUGAGGGUCUUCAUCAGAACACAGCCCGAUGCCUGAGAGUCUUCAUCAGAGCACAGACCAAUGCCUGGCUUAGGAUAUAUAGACAAUUGACAAAUUGACAAUUCUGAGUUGUCAAUUAUCAGUUAUGCCAAGUCAAUAGUCCCUUGUCAAUUAAAAACAUCUACUACAUAGGUGACAAUAAGAAGAUCUGGUUCUGACCUAUUAACACACAAGGCCGGAUAUCUACUGCAAUAUAAUAAUUAAACCAUGAAGAUAGGUUAUCAUUGUGCAGUCAUACGGGAUACCAAUCACACAUUACUGCCAAGGUUAUAAUAUUAACAGCUCAACAUAUAAAACAGUUCAUACACAUAUGAAUGGGUCACAAUUCAUAUAAAAAUGGUCUGAAAUCAAUUUAAUCAUUUAAACUAAGAUUUGCAUAGCUUUAAAUUUAUGAAUCCAGAAAGUCUCUGUUUGUCAGAGUCAAAUGUAUCAAUAUAUCUCCACCCCAGAUUUGUUUGUUUAUUACUGUAAUACCUUCCACUUUUUGUAAUUCUGAAUUCAUAUGUUUUUAAAAUAUCUUACCAUUGGAUAAUCUAUGUCACGUGUUCUAAUAGCAUACUUGUGUUCUGCAGUCCUCUCCUUUAGUUUUCUUGCUGUUCUGCCUACAUGAAACUAGUUGCACGGUUAUAAGCCAGUUGGGCAGCAGUGUAGUAUUCUGGGUAUGGAGCUGGCCUAUGUAAAUGCUAUGUAAAAAGUUGUGUAAGUCACUGGAUAAAUGUCUUUUAAAUGCCUGUGAUGUAAUGUACUAAGUGGUAAACUACACAGUUGGUAUUGCAGUUAAUAAAGGAAAGCAUAUUAAAAAA
This is a long non-coding RNA of Anguilla rostrata (American eel), 1721 nucleotides long. RefSeq lists it as uncharacterized. The transcript has 3 exons. NCBI's taxonomy places the organism in Eukaryota, Metazoa, Chordata, Actinopteri, Anguilliformes, Anguillidae. The record is from RefSeq and is a predicted model, not a curated record.